CAAUAGCGUAUAUUAAAGUUGUUGCAGUUAGAACGCUCGUAGUCGGAUUUCGGGGCGAGCCUUCCGGUCUGCCGAUGGGUAUGCACUGGUCGGGUCGUCCUUCCUUCCGGAGACCGUCCCUACUCUUAACUGAGCGGGGGCGGGAGACGGAAUUUUUACUUUGAAAAAAUCAGAGUGUUUCAAGCAGGCAGCUCGCUCUUGCAUGGAUUAGCAUGGGAUAAUGAAAUAGGACUUUGGUGCUAUUUUGUUGGUUUCGAACACCGAAGUAAUGAUGAGAAGGGACAGUCAGGGGCACUCGUAUUCCGCCGAGAGAGGUGAAAUUCUCAGACCAGCGGAAGACGAACCACUGCGAAAGCAUUUGCCAGGGAUGUUUNCACUG
Molecule: ribosomal RNA, 379 nt
Filed under: uncultured eukaryote
Lineage: Eukaryota
Description: partial 18S ribosomal RNA
Rfam family: Eukaryotic small subunit ribosomal RNA
Source: RNAcentral